This 68-nucleotide transfer RNA is filed under the name Marmota monax (woodchuck). RNAcentral's name for it is "tRNA.Ser". Lineage: Eukaryota; Metazoa; Chordata; Mammalia; Rodentia; Sciuridae. The record is from RNAcentral.
GGAUUGUGGCUCAGUGGUAGAGCGCUCACCCAGAACGUGCGAGACCCUGGGUUCGAUUCUCUGUACCA